RNAcentral lists this ribosomal RNA (433 nucleotides) under uncultured bacterium. Its description in RNAcentral is "partial 16S ribosomal RNA". It matches the Rfam family "Bacterial small subunit ribosomal RNA", at positions 29 to 507 of the family's 1533-position model. The record is from RNAcentral.
AACGAACGCUGGCGGCAUGCCUAACACAUGCAAGUCGAACGAGACCUUCGGGUCUAGUGGCGCACGGGUGCGUAACGCGUGGGAACCUUCCUUUAGGUUCGGAAUAACUCAGAGAAAUUUGAGCUAAUACCGGACGAUGUCUUCGGACCAAAGAUUUAUCGCCUUUAGAUGGGCCCGCGUUGGAUUAGCUAGUUGGUGGGGUAAAGGCCUACCAAGGCGACGAUCCAUAGCUGGUCUGAGAGGAUGAUCAGCCACACUGGGACUGAGACACGGCCCAGACUCCUACGGGAGGCAGGAGUGGGGAAUAUUGGACAGUGGGCGAAAGCCUGAUCCAGCAAUGCCGCGUGAGUGAUGAAGGCCUUAGGUUUGUAAAGCUCUUUUACCCGAGAUGAUAAUGACAGUAUCGGGAGAAUAAGCUCCGGCUAACUCCGUG